GAAUCACCUUCUCAUUGGAUUCUCCCCCAAAGCGCCCUGGGCUCUUUCCUAAAGGAACAGCGUCCCGCCAUUCGGGUCCCGGGACGGAGCCUCACCUCGUCGUCUCCGCGCUGAUCGGUGGAUUCCGGCGGCGAGUGCGUGGUAACUUCUCAAUAGUCUGCCUUUCUUCAUGAAUGGA
This is a long non-coding RNA of Myotis brandtii (Brandt's bat), 178 nucleotides long. RefSeq lists it as uncharacterized. The transcript has 2 exons. NCBI's taxonomy places the organism in Eukaryota, Metazoa, Chordata, Mammalia, Chiroptera, Vespertilionidae. The record is from RefSeq and is a predicted model, not a curated record.